UCACUUCCGCUGCCGGUGGCGACAUCUUGCCGGCGGGCGUAGGCGCUGCUGGGCGGAGGCCGUGGAGAGGGCGAGGCCGGCAUGGCUGUGCCGGGGCGGCGGGACCCGCGCCCCAUCUGCCGCCUGGUGCUAGCUGCCGUGGUGUUGCUUUCCUGGGGCUUCGUCCUCUACGGGUCACGGGUGGCCGCCCAGCGGCAGCUGGAGAGCGGCCUCCUGGCCCAGGGGCUGCCCUAGGCGAUGGCAAAGCCCGUGGGACACCGCCGGGAGCUUGGCAUUGUCUCUGAGAGGACGGAGGAAUCCAUCUGAAGGCUGGAGGAGCCCUGUUGUCAGUUGGGUAAAUAAAGCACAAACAGUUACCAGAAAAGAAAAA
This is a long non-coding RNA of Harpia harpyja (harpy eagle), 370 nucleotides long. RefSeq lists it as uncharacterized. The transcript has 2 exons. The record is from RefSeq and is a predicted model, not a curated record. NCBI's taxonomy places the organism in Eukaryota, Metazoa, Chordata, Aves, Accipitriformes, Accipitridae.